RNAcentral lists this ribosomal RNA (429 nucleotides) under Fusobacteriota bacterium. RNAcentral's name for it is "Fusobacteria bacterium partial 16S ribosomal RNA". It matches the Rfam family "Bacterial small subunit ribosomal RNA", at positions 355 to 776 of the family's 1533-position model. The record is from RNAcentral. Lineage: Bacteria; Fusobacteriati; Fusobacteriota.
UGGGGAAUAUUGCGCAAUGGGCGAAAGCCUGACGCAGCGACGCCGCGUGAGGGAUGAAGGUUUUCGGAUCGUAAACCUCUGUCAGAAGGGAAGAAACCGCACUGUGCUAAUCAGCAGUGCCUUGACGGUACCUUCAAAGGAAGCACCGGCUAACUCCGUGCCAGCAGCCGCGGUAAUACGGAGGGUGCAAGCGUUAAUCGGAAUUACUGGGCGUAAAGCGCACGUAGGCUGCUUUGUAAGUCAGGGGUGAAAUCCCACGGCUCAACCGUGGAACUGCCUUUGAUACUGCUUAGCUUGAAUCCGGGAGAAGGUGGCGGAAUUCCAGGUGUAGGAGUGAAAUCCGUAGAUAUCUGGAGGAACAUCAGUGGCGAAGGCGGCCACCUGGACCGGUAUUGACGCUGAGGUGCGAAAGCGUGGGGAGCAAACAGG